This 337-nucleotide unclassified non-coding RNA is filed under the name soil metagenome. RNAcentral describes it as "partial contains 5.8S ribosomal RNA, internal transcribed spacer 2, and large subunit ribosomal RNA". The stretch from base 1 to 120 matches the Rfam family "5.8S ribosomal RNA", at positions 35 to 154 of the family's 154-position model. The record is from RNAcentral.
GAUGAAGAACGUAGCGAAAUGCGAUAAGUAAUGUGAAUUGCAGAAUUCAGUGAAUCAUCGAAUCUUUGAACGCACAUUGCGCCCGCCAGUAUUCUGGCGGGCAUGCCUGUUCGAGCGUCAUUUCAACCAUCAAGCCCCCCGGCUUGUGUUGGGGACCCGCGGCUGCCGCAGGCCCUGAAAAGCAGUGGCGGGCUCGCUGUCACACCGAGCGUAGUAGAUCUCAUCUCGCUCAGGGCGUGCUGCGGGUUCCGGCCGUUAAACCACCUUCAUAACCCAAGGUUGACCUCGUAUCAGGUAGGAAGACCCGCUGAACUUAAGCAUAUCAAUAAGCGGAGGA